AACCCAACUCUUUGAGUAUUUUCCCAAGAGUGUGGCUAUACCCAUUUCCUGACCUUAUGUACAAAGGCAACAGGGACGUUUUUGAAAAUCCUGUAUCUUUCCCACUUGUCUUCCAGCAACUGUCACUACUUCGGAGCUUUCAGCCUGAUAAUGCUCUGCUUUCACUUCUCAAUUAAUUUCUCCUGAUUAGUCACAGAACCACAUCUAAAACUGCUGCACCUCCCCUGAUUCUCCUCCACCUCCUCAAAGUCAGAUCUUGUCUUCAGUGCAUUCUAGGAACGAGAAGAAACAGUGGAUGUUGGAGACUUGCUAUUUCUGACAGGUUCUUGGAUAACUUUUAUAGCUGUUGGAUGGGAGACAGCUCCCUUCAACACAGCACAUGGAUGUGUGUGGAUGGGCCUCUCCACCUCUUACAGUCUUCUAGAAAGGGAGUACCCCAAGUACAGCUCUGAGCAGAAGGGGAGUUCUUCCAGGUGUCUGCUCUUACACUUACAGAAUCAUAGAGUCAGGUUGGGAAAGAUCUCUAGGUUCAUCAAGUCCAACCAUCAGUCCUUCCCCACCAUGCAUACUCACAGAAUCAGUGAGGUAGGACAAGACCUCUGAGACCAUCUGGUCCAACCCCAACCCAUCCCACUAUGCCCACUAAUAUUCCCUCAGUGCCACAUCUCCAUGGUUUUUGAACACCUCCAUGGACAGUGACUCCAACAAACUCUUCUAGAAGAGAAAUUUCUUCUGAUACCUAAGAACUGAGGUGAGACAGCUCGCAGUAAAUAGAGUUUCGAGAUGGGCUUACAUCCUUGGACAGGUCGGGUGGCUGUGCUGACUCCCCUGCCAAUUAGUUCCCUAUUGUUCUAAGUUCAUGCAGGUACAUCACACGCCUGGCACAGCCCUUUGUGCCCCCUGGGAGCUGCUGUGCUGGCUGCAAGCUGCACGCUAAAUGAAUCCCAGACCUUUUCCCCUGUGCCUUACUCUUGCCUUGGCAUGCCCUGCGUUUUGCUUCCGGGGGUUUUCCUUGCUCAGUGAGGAGAAGCAACACAUUGCAACCCAUGGCACCCUCCCCUUGCUGCUGCACCAUGACUUUAUUUGGCUGCUCAUGGGGAGAUUGAGGAGACAUGAACAGGGAGCAAAAAACUGCACCUUGAACUGGGCAGGGCCCCAUGAAAAGUGCUCGUUAUCUGUAUUUGCAUUUGUUGUUCCAUGCCUUUAAUUAAAAGCUCCACGCAAUAGAAUAAAUUACAUAUGCAUUUUUAUUAGACAAACACCAGAAAGUAAAGAGAGAAAGUCAUGGGACACAUUUUAUAUACAAAAUCUGGCUGGAAAAAAAAAUAACAAAACAACAAAAAACCAAAAAGCUGAGCGGUAACAAGCGAGUUGCAGAUUUAAAACAGAGGGAUUUCCGAUCCACGGCAGAGCCCUGCAUGUGUGCAAGAGAGGAGGUUUCCAGUGAGGCUCCUGCGCCACAGGACAUCGGGUUCAGGUGGCUCCUGUUCUGCUUCCCCUGAUUAUGCUGUGGUGAAGGACCCGUGUCGUGGUGUUCUCUGGCGAGGGAGGGAGAGCUUUAGCUCCUGUAACUUCUCCGGGAGGAGGAGGAGGAGAAGAACUUCAUGCUGGAGCUGCUGCCCCCACCCAGGGCACUGGUCCCCCCGGGCCCACUGCAGCUGUAGUUGUUCCCCAUGCUGCACAUGCCACCCCCCAUGCUGAGGUUGCUUCCUCCUCCAUAUCCCGAUCCCACAGUGGUUCUGGUCACGGCUGCAAAAGAGAUAGAAAAGUAAUAAGGCAUUGGCUUCUCAGUGUAGGGGCAUAAAAACGCUCAGGCGAGGUAAUUUUAUAGAUUUUAGACUUACAGAUAUUCACUGGGACACCAUCUCCAGCCAGCCUGUAUGGGGAGAGAACAGCAACGUAAGAGGACAAGGAUACAGACGACAGCAGGGAAAAAUACAGGGGCCAUUUUAUAGGACUCCUGUAAAUAUUUGGUAUUGUCCAUGGAUGCUCCUCACAAUAUUCCAUCACCCGACCUCCCCCUGCUCCUGGGUACCCCAAUCGAUGCGUGUACCUCAUGAGGGAGCAUCCCACCCAUGUUUUAAAAUACCCCCCCACAUUGAUCCUCCCUCAUUUUAUACUGCUUCGUGCUCCAGCUCUUUGAACCCAAUGGAAUGUGUCCAUCUCCAGGGAGGAUCACACAGGGAAAAGUGAAAUUUGCUGAUAUUUCUGCAGGGAUUCUUUACCCACCUGCACUCCUCGCCCUCCAGCAGCUUCCUGUAGGUUGCAAUCUCGAUAUCCAGGGCCAGCUUGACGUUCAUCAGCUCCUGGUACUCACGCAGCUGCCGGGCCAGGUCUGCCUUUGCCUGCUGCAGGGCAUCCUCCAGCUCAGCCAGUUUUGCUUUGGCAUCCUUCAGGGCAAUCUCCCCGCGCUCCUCAGCAUCCGCAAUGGCUGCUUUCAGAUUUGCACACUGGGAGAGAGAAAAUCUCGGUCACAUUCCCCUAGUUGACUUGUUCCUUUUCUACCCUAUAAUCACAAGGUCUUAUUCCAGCAUCACCAAUUUAACUAAUUUUACUGAGUUUUUUGUUUUUGACAGAAGUGUCAGCUAAGCAGAACUUGCCUACAUUGCUUCUGAUAUUUUCUUUCCUUUCUUCCAAUCUGGGGGGUAAAUUGAUUAAAAGCAUGGAUUUUCCUGCCCUGUACCUGUUUCUUCACGUUGUCAAUCUCAGCCCGCAGACGCUGGACGUGGCGGUUGAGCUCAGAGAUCUCCUGCUUGGUGCUGCGGAGGUCGUCCCCGUGCCUGCCUGCGGUAGCCUGCAGCUCUUCAUACUGCCAGGGAGAGGAGCAGAGGUCAGGGCAGAAUCCAGCAUUGUAGAGUGAAGAAGCAUGAGAAGAUUUUCCUGGAAGAGUCAGCCCUUCUCUAUUCAAGACAAGACAUGAAGACAGAAGCACGGAAAGCCCCAUCUCCUUCACCUUGGUUUGGUACCAGGACUCGGCUUCAGCCCGGCUGCGGUUGGCGAUGUCCUCGUACUGCGCUUUCACCUCUGCAAUGAUGCUGUCCAGGUCCAGGUUGCGAUUGUUGUCCAUGGUCAGCACCACGGAGGUGUCGGAGAUCUGGGUCUGCAUCUGGGACAGCUCCUGCAAUGGGAACAGGGUGAGCUUGCACUCGGUGGUGCCUCCUCAUCCCUAAGGAUGAGCGCGCCAAACUGGGAGAGGCUGCAGAUCAUUAUCUGCACGGUUCUAAAGAGUGAAGAGUUCAGCAUCUCCUGGGGGGAGGAAUUAAGGGCUGUUGGAGGGAGGUGGGUGAUAGUACUUACAGCUUCGUAGAGGGCUCUCAGGAAAUUGAUUUCUUCAGUCAACGCAUCUGCCUUGGCUUGUAGCUCAACCUUGUUCAUGUAGGAAGCAUCCACGUCCUGGAAGGUGAGAGAAGUGGACAGUGAGUUUUAAAGUCUUGUUCACGUGUGUAUUUCUGCAGUAACAGAGCAGAGAAGUCAUGAAGAAGACAGGGAAGAAGUCAAGAGGGCAUCAAGAAGUACGGAUGGGUUUGUGGAUGGAGAGUGGAUGGAAAGAGUCGUGAGCCGAUGAGCCGCAAUGCGCUCUCACCUUCUUAAGUGUCACAAACUCAUUCUCUGCAAUGGUGCGCCUGUUGAUUUCAUCUUCGUACCUAAUGGAGGAGGCAGAGGGAGUAUUGUUUAGGCAGGUAGCAGACGGAGGUGAUUUUAUUUUGCUGGAAUGAACUUCCUUAACAGCAGUUUGCAUACAAUGUUCUUUUCUCCUACGUUGCAUCUGAAUAAGAGACCAUGAGCGAUUUCCUAGGCUGAACUAGUUAAAACAAGUACAUUAAGGAAAAAAAAAGUGAAAGCAUCUCUGCUAUUCCUUUUCUCCUCUUUCUGGCCGUUACUCAUUCCCCUUCAGCCUCUCUUAAGCAAAUUAAGCAUGCUGCCUCAAAACUUUCAGACCUACCGUGUAAUUUUUUCUCCGUGCUAGGUAAUUUAGUUAAUAAGCCUUUGAUCAUAUUCUAAAUUAUUCCCUGAAUAUUUGUGCAUUUGGAUCUGUUGCUCCGUUACCAUCUAUUUUGAGAAAGUGGCACAGCCUUCAUUGUCGGGAAUUCCUUCACUGUUGGGAUUCCCGUAUCCCAGUGCUGGAGGGCUCAGCUGGACCCCCAGAUGGCGGUAGGAUGGGGGAAGCUGCACCCAUCAAGUGGGCAGAGCACAUGGACUUACUUCUUCUUGAAGUCCUCAACCAGGUACUGUGUGUUGACGAGCUCUCCCUCCAGCCUCCCCUUGUCGCUCAGCAGGCUGUUCAGCUGCAUCCUCAGGUUGUUGAUGUACGUCUCAAAAAGUGGCUCCAGGUUGUUCCGGACCGUUUUCAUCCCCUGCUCUUGCAGCAGGCUCCACUUGGUUUCCAGCACUUUGUUUUGUUGCUCGAGGAAUCGGACCUGCCAGAAGAAAUAUGCUGAAGAUGUUUGGAAAGGGCAGAGAUUGGGGUGAACUUCCUUUGCACUUGUGGGGUCCCAGUACCAGAGAGGGGUUGCAGUACCCUUUCCAACUGGUUUUCACAGAUAAAUUUAUCUCUGAUAGAAACAGGAAUUUGCAAUUUGAUUGCCAUUUUCCUGCUCAGUGUUGCAAACAAGCGCUGGAACUAAUUUCCUUUCCCCUUCUGCCCUUUGAAUAAGUGUGCAAGAUGCAAACAGCAUGUUGAAAAUCAGAUGAGGAGUAAACAGGAUUGGAACUCCUAUUAAGAAAAGUGCCAGUUCCCCCCCUCUUAGCAUUGCUCCUCCACUUUGAAAAACCUCUGAUAUAAUGCAGAAUAAUGCAGCAUUUUGCUUCGAAGCAAGAGGAGCUGCUCAACCAGGAGAGAAAUCAAGCAGGUGCUCUUGUGCAUCUAAUAUGCUUAAUGAGGAAAUGAAGUGGACAGAAAGUGUCGGAUCAGAUUUUGCUAUUUUGAGCAGUCCCAACUUGCUGGUACUGUUUCAUUAUGAGCUUUAAAUGCCUUUGAGGAAAAUUCAAGCACUGAGAGGCUUAUAUCUUCCUUUGUGCUCUUCCUUUUCUAGUCAUUUCAGGAUUGCUCGCACCUCACUUUAACCACCCAACACCUGUUAUCCUGAAGUGCUCAAUGGAGAGACCCCAACACCUGCAGAGGGGUGGAAUUGCCUUUGAGAGUUUUCUCUCUCCAUUUGCCUCGCAGCAAAUGAGAACCUCAGAUGCUGGGUGAUGCACUCAUAGCAACCACUGCACAGCAGGUACCACUGCCUGGAGUUCCAGGGACAGAGGCAUCUUCCAGUCCCAUUCCUGAUCACUGUUCCUUCUUGCUCAGCUCAUGUGCUCAUCAUGCAAUAAGAAUCCCCAUCAAAACAUGAGGGCAGGGAAGCUCAUGGCUCACCUUAUCGAUGAAGGAUGCAAAUUUGUUGUUGAGGGUUUUGAUCUGCUCCUUCUCCUCCUUUCGGAUCCUCUGGAUGCUGGGGUCGAUCUCCAGGUUGAGGGGCUUCAGAAGGCUCUGAUUGAUGGAUACCUCCUGGAUGCCACCAGCAGGGAACCCAGGGCCUCCAAAUGCCCCGUAUCCGUAGCCCAGCAUGCUCCCAGCACCUCCACCAAACCCUGCGGGGCCAUAGAAGCCCCCACCCCUUCCAGCUGCAGAGAUCCUCUUGCAUCCACCGAAAUUGUAGAGGCUUCUGCUUCCAAAGCCACCUCCAACCCUUGCAAAGCCACUGCCAGCAUUGCAGCCCCCAGCACGGGUGACGGAGCGUGAGCUGAAGCUGGUGCGGCACGUGCCGGGCACGAUGGCCGACGCAGCGCUGAAGCCACUUCUCCCCCUCUGGAUCCUGACGGUGGACUGGCGAGACAUGGCUGGUUUGGGAUGGGGUGGAUGCUACGGCACGAGGGAAGCAGUGGAGGUGCUGGCCUGGAGCAAGGAGUGGGAGGGAAAGUAGAAAGAUGAACCUGUGCUCCUCACGGGCUCGGGAGAGCCCUUUUAUGCAUUUAUGAGACUGGGAUGGGUUUGAUGAGGUGGAUCGUCUUUCUGAUUAAUUAGGCUUGGCAUGUCCAACAGCAUUCUGGAGAGAGAACUCACUCCGCACACACGCCCUUCUGAAAUAAUACAGCCAAGUUCUGAGCAACAGUGGUAUUGUUUGGGAAUAACUGUCGCCUUCUGCUGUCUUUGUAGACGGGCAGACUCUGCACCAUAUCAAAGAGUUUGGGAGCUGCAAUGAAUCAGCCUGGUCACGGGAGGGAAACACCGUUUAGAGUGGCUGUCACUCAGCUCUUGGGAUCUUCAGACCAUGGGACUGCUCUCCUCAGCCCAUCUCUGUGAAUGGGGCUUUAAGAAGUUGCAGUCCCUGGUGUUUUAGGGAAAGGAAUGUGUUGGCAGGGCAGCGUUGUGCAGUCCUGUAGAACAUUGCACGUUGCUUUAUCCUAGGAUUUUGUGGUGUCAUGGAAUCACUGAAUCCAUGGGUGGCUUGGUUUGGAAGAGUCCUUCAAGAUCGCAGAAUCACAGAAUCACAGUGUGGCUUGAGCAAGAAGGGAACUUCAAAGCCCCCCCCAUCGCCACUCCUUGCCUUUGGGCUGAUCCCAUUCCUCCAUCAGCUUCCCAGGGUCUGUUUAUGGCCUUGAGCAGCCCAAGGUGCACCUAUGCUUCUCUGGGCAGCAGUGUUAGGGCCUCACUAUUUUCUGGGUGAAGAAUUUCCCCCUCACAUCUGACCCAAAUCUCCCCUCUUUUAGUUUGAAAUAAGCCAUAUAGUCCCCUUCUACAGUACAUCUACACAACUACCUCUACUUUAUCUCUACAUAGGCUGAGUUUCUUGAGCUGGUGUCUUCUGAAAAUCCUGCUCCAGUGGACAUACCUUUCUGUGACUCUUAAAAAUAAUAUAUAUAUAGAGAGAGAGAGAGAGAGGAAGGAAUGAAAAUGGAACAUUUUGUCACAGUCUCUUGUUCACACCUGGACUUUGACAGCCCUAUUCACUGCUGCCAUUGAGUUCUGUCAUGGCUGUGCUGCUCCCCCAGCUUCCAGGCUUUCAAAUUUGACAUUUAGGAGGAUGGAAACGAAAACAAUGAGAAAAAAAAUAAAUAACUACGGAGGAGGAAGGACUGUGGGAAUGGAGCUGCUCUGAAUCCACUGGCUCUAUGGAAAUAGAGUGCUCCAGGGCUGCUCCCAGCUCCCCAUCUAUAAACAUGAUGUCAUUCCCCAAAGAUUUAAUCAGCUCUCUGCUCAUCUGAAAGAGGGAUCCCAUCAACCUGAAUCCAUGAGAAAAGUGCUCCACAGGAUCUCUUGCCCAAAUCCUUAGCAAUCUGUGCACAAAGAUACCUGGCCCUGUCCUUUCCCAUCCAUGUGUGCCAAUGAAAACGUUUGCUUUGCAUGAGCAUCACAAGCAGUUCAAGUAAUGAGUCAAAUCGUGAUAUCGUGAUAAAGCCUCAAUUUUGAGGGGGGAGAAGAGCAUCUGGCCCUUUCUGUUUCUGGCAGGUCUGGAAAAGAUGACUCAUAUGUAAUUACACAAGAGGGUGACUUCGCAAAAGCAUCCCCCCGAACAGCUUCAUCUCGUGUUUCUGGAGCAGCAAUCCUUUGUUUAUUUUGGUAGCUGUUCCUUCAGCUCCUUCAAUGAAGGGCUGAGCCUUCAUUGUGAUGCUGCACCUUCCACACUGCAACAGUCCCAGUGGGGCUAUUCGCCAGGUGUGCACAUUUGCACACCCAAAGCCCUGUCAUGCUUUGGGCAUUGCUCCCUGGGGUGCCCUCCAUCCCUUGUGGCUCCACCUGAAAGCUUUUCCCCGUUGCUGUGCAGCUCAGGAGGGCAUCAGCACCAAAGGGAUUCCCCGUCCUUUGCACAGCUGCAGCACCACAGGGCUGACUCAGGGUGUGCAGAGCCUGAAUCCCACCCUUGGUUACCAACGAGUGUGAUGAGUCAGUGCUUUCCUUUCCCCCCUCAGGCUCCAUUUUACAUAUGAAACUCAUCUUUUUUAGCCAAAGAAUACGCCAACCGCGUUGGAGUCCAUUGUUAAUAAUAGUAAUAAUACAGCUCCUCCAACCAAAUAAAAAGAAAUUAAUUUCUUUCCAUUUCACAUUUGCACUAGGGUGGAGGUGAUGCGGUUGUCACUCAUCUGGAAGGAAUUUGAGAGGUAAUUACAAAAGGCAGAACUGGGAGCACCAGGAGCUGCAGCUACAGGUCUGGGGUAUGGGUGAUGGCAGAGGGUCCCCACCCUGCCCUGUUGAUGAAACAUUGGGUUUCCAGGUAGCUCCCGGGGGAGUGUCUCCCCUGUGCCCUGCAGCUCCAGGCAUGUGGAUGAAAUUGCUGCUCUAAUGCAGAUAGCUCACCCUGAUACGGACUUCUCCUCUGGCAGAGUGUAAAAAGCAGAGUGGUGCUCUGCUUUUUCCUCCUGAUCAGAUCACAGAGCUGUGCUGGGGCUGAGAGCCCCGUAAUGCAGCUCUGGAGCCUUUUCCACCCCUCUCCCUCCUUUCCUCCUCCAGGGAUAGGUGGGAGAUCCCUGGGGUGCAGCCUGGUAUCACGCUAACAUUGAGGUAAUACACUCCUUCGAGGGUAGAAAAGUGAAUUCUGGCUGCAUCAGGGCAAUAACUACAACUCAGGUCCUUGUAGUGGGAAAUUUGAGCUGUUUCCCAGCCAGAGAGAAAGAAGGCAGCUACAACAACUUGCCACCAACACCUGCCCAGCAUCCACCGUGAGAUGAUUCCACGGAUGCAUUUGCCAUGGGAGCCUUCGUUUCAAGAUGGAUGUCUGUUCUCAGACAAGAUUGAGGAGGUCUCCUUUCAGCCCAUGGCUUGUUGCAUCCCAAAAGAGCCUCUGACCUUGGUGGGUAUAUAUCCUUAUCCCGCUCUGCAUUCAACACAGCUGCUUGCAUGGAGGUACCCAAAUAAUAUAGAAUAAAUAAUACCCAAAUAAAUAAUCCCAAAUACCCCCAAAUUAUUCUGUUGCUCCUUCUGAGCACCUUUAAUGCCCUGGAUAGGGCUCUGUGACCCUUCUAACCCAAGCCAUGACCUUCUAACCCAUUCCAUGUUUCUAUGAUCAUAAAGAGCCCUUCCAACCCAACCAUUCUAUGGUUCUACGACCCUUCCAAGUCAAACAUCCUAUGGUCCUACGGUCUGUAAGGACCCUUCCAACCCAACCAUCCUAUGGUUCUAUGGUCUGUAAAUGCCCUUCCAACCCAACUAUCCUAUGAUUAUGAUUCUGUAAUCUCCUUUCUCAUGGCCCUAGGGUGAAUCUUCUCUCAUUUUAAAGUUGCAGUGAAAGUGAAGUUGCUGGAUACCUCAUGAUUUCAGAUUAGCAUCCUGCACCAGCACCGCUUCCGGCUCAGGGUUUCUUGCAGACAGACCUAGCGCUUGUGCAAAAUUUAAUUUCUCCCAAUUAAAACAAAAAAUACCGUUCUCUGAGCAGGUAAAAUCAACAAGUAUUAUUCACAUAUUCUAGGAGGUGUCUCCGAGCGGGGUUUUGCUCUCCAAACAAUUGACUGAUCCUUGUGAAUUGUAGCAGGGGUGUUGUUCCUCUGCUGGAUUUACUGAGUCCUCCGUCACCUUCCCUGAAGCCAUUUUGUGUCUUGCUUCAUUUCCAGGCUGCAUGCAUUUGCAAGUUUUUUUAAAAAUAAUAAUUUUGUUAGGAGAAAACCUUGUCUGGAGGGGACCCUGCAUGGUAGGACCAACACUUCCAGCCUGUCAGCCAGCUCUGUGCCUUUCCCUUGCUCUGGGUCCCCACCUACUGGAGACAGCAGGCUGGGUUGUCGGGUGCCUGCACACCUCUGGCUUUUUGGCAGUGGGGCUGCUCCUUCUCCUCCCCCUCCUUUGGGGUACCCAUGGUUGGAGCUGGUAGGGCAUGUGGGAUGGUGGGUGGAUACUGGGAAGGAGUGAGAUGCUCACCUUAGGACAUCCCUCCAAAGGGCUGUGGGGAUUUUCUGCUCCUCUCCUUCAUGUUGCAGCUGUCAGAGCUUUGUGCCAGGUUUCCAGUGCCCAUUGCUGCUGUUGUCUGGAUUGCCACCCAUUGAGCGGUGGGAUCCCAUCCCAAAUCUGCUCCCUGAAACCUUCUGGGGAAGUGGGUGGAAAUGGAGCUGCCAGGUCCUGCAGGUUCUCUCAGAAUGAAGCUGAGGUCCCAGAACAGCCCUUCCAGAGCAGCAUUUGAAUGAGAUAUCACAAUACAAGGGAAAAUUCCACAUGCAAGCAUGCAGUGAUAUAUCGGACACUUUGCCCUGCUCCUGCCCCAAUUUGCUCUUUGCUGGUACUGUCCUCCUCCCUUAGGGGGUGACAUUUCCCUUCCUAGGGGCUCAGUGCAGAGCACCUCCCCUCCUCAGUGCAGUUCUUGAUGUCCUGGCUGUGGUCCUCAUGCUCGCACUGGGCUCCUUUGCUGUAAGGUUUGCUCCAUGCUAUGCCUACACUAACUCAAGGAUCUUGGCCAAGCCUUUGACAAUCACCUUCCUUUCCCCAUCUCCUGUGUUUUCUCACUCCUGCAGGGAUGAGAAAAAUGACAGCCCCAUGGUGGGGUUCCUCCAGCUUUUGUCUUACCCAGAAGCAGCUUGUCCUCUCUCUGUCUCAGUUCUCUGCCCAGCCCACUCUCCCAGAGCCACACUGGAGUAUGAGUCCUAGCCCCGAGCUCAAGGUAGUACUCUUAGAAUCACAGAAUCACACAAUGGUUGGGUUGGAAUAGACUUCAAAGAUCACAGAAUCAUAGAAUGGAUGAGUAGAAAGGAACUCCAAAGUCCUCCCUCUAUGGGCUGCUCCCACCCCCCCAUCAGCUGUCCAUCCCUAUCCACGGCCAUGAGUACCUCUAGGGAUGGGGCACCCACACGUCUCCAGGCAGCUGUGCCAUGGCUUCACCAGCUCUGAGUAAAGAAUAUUCUCACCCAAAUCUCCUAUCUUUUAAUUUAAAGCCAUUCCCCCUUGUCCUAUCACUGCCUGCCAUUGUAUAAAGCUGUUCUCCUGUUUACAAGCUCCAUGUAAGUACUGGAAGACUGUAACGAUAUCUGCCUCCUCGGAGCCUUUUUGUCUCCAAACCAAUUCCCGUCAGAGAAUGAAGCCAAGAAGCAGCAGUUUUUAAAAAUGACAGAUGCUCUUUAUUGGACAACACAGUAUGGUAGGAAAUGAAGAGGCUAUAGCCAUGGGUCAAGAAGUUGGAGAUCAGUGGCAAUUCUUGUAUGCAGAAAGCAGUAACAUUUCCCCUGGGUUCCUGAGAGAAUAGAAGGGGCUGGAAAAUUCUUUUAAUUGCAGCUGAAAGGUUUGGAGGUUGUAACAUGUGAUGUGAUUAGGGGCUUGCAGAGCCUCUUGGGGCUCCUGUCCUUGCCAAGGACCUGGGGCUGAGGUUUCACAGGGCUGUCCCCUUGCUGUGGGGAGAAUGAAACAAAUGCAUGUGGCCUCCCCCCAUUCAGCAAAGUGCUUUAAAUGCUUUGCAUUAAAUACAUGAUCUCGUGAGGAGGAACGGAGGAGGGCUGGCAUCGGGUACCGUGCCAGUUCCCAAAGCCCCAUUGGUGACCCACUACAACCUGUGCUUUGACCAAAGGUGCUCCAGAUUCUCACAGUGGGGUCCUGGUCUCCCCCCCAGUACCCCGAGAGAGGCUGGCGAAGGACGGAGGAAGGAGAGGGCGCAGCGCAGCUAUGUACAGCACUGAUUGUGGUCUUGGAAACGAUCCGCACGCUGCCUCCCGUGCUGGAGCUGACCCCUCGGCUGCUGCUGGAGCUGAAGUUGCUGCCUCCACCAUAGCUGUAGCUUCCACUCCCGCCCCCGAAUCCUCCACCGCCGCCACUGCUGCUCAUGGUGUAGCUGCCGCCGCCUCCCAUGCUGAGACCACUGCUCAUGCCAAGACCACUGCUCAUGCCAAGACCACUGCUCAUGCCGAGACCUCCACCCAUGCCGAGACCACUGCCCAUUCCAAGACUUCCUCCCAUGCCGCCGCCAUAGCCCAUCCCGCUGGAGCUGCUCACUACAGCUGUGAGAGAACAGGGAUGAGUGAGACCACCUCAGCGUCUUGCAGAUCCCCAGGGUGGGGGGACAAACCCCAGCAAACAAGGGUGGGAAAGGGGGAGAUACUUACAGACACUCACGGCUCCAACGCCCUCUCCAGCGAGCCUGGUGGAAAAGAGGAAAGGAGGAGGUAACACAGGCAAGAUGCAGUGGUACCUGGGAGGGUCUCACUGCAGGAGCAUUCAGUUGGGGAACUAUCCAAUGGGGGGACCAUCUAAAUGGGAGACUAUCCAACUGAGGGGCCAUCCAAUUGCAGGGCCUUCAAACUGGGAGACCAUCUAAUUAGGAGAACAUGCAAUUGGGGAAUCAUUCAUCUAAGGGACCACUCACUUGGAGGACCACCUAAAUGGGGAGUCGUCUAGUUUGGGGACUUUCUGUCUGGAGGCCUGUCUAAUUAGACUUUCCUGUCCUUCAAUAGGGUCCUUCUACUGCUGGGCUAUGUCUGCAGCACAUGUGGAAGUGGCAAUUCUCAUUUUUCUUAGUGCAUCAGAUGCCAACAACUGGAGGAACCCAGCUUUUCCUAGAAACCUCACAUUUCAAAACACCCAUCUCCUCCCUCUGUUUUUAUGUUCCUUUAUGCUCCAGAUCCUUGGGGUGAGCUGAGGCUUUGGGCCCAAAGAGAGGUGCAGCAUGCCGGGAAAAGUGAUAUUUGCUGAUAUGUCUGCAAGGAUUCUUCACUCACCUGCUCUCCUCGCCCUCCAGCAGCUUCCUCCGCUGCACCAUCCGGUUGAUCUCUGAGAUCUCCAUCUUGGUGUUCCUGAGGUCAUCGCCGUGGCGCCCAGCUGAGACCUGCAGCUCUUCAUACUGGUCAUCAUCCUGGAGGUGUUCAAGAAACGUGGAGAUGUGGCACCUGGGUACAAGGUUAGGGGGCAUGUUUUCUAUCUUAUGGCUGCACUGCGAUUUCUAACAGGCAGCGAUGCUUCCUCCUUCACUGCCGUGCAGCACUGAGUGUGGAGCCAAGGGACGUCGUGCAGAGAACUGACUGCUCACCGCUUCGUACAGAGCCCUCAGGAAGUUGAUCUCAUCUGCCAGCCCAUCUGCUUUGGCCUGCAGUUCCACCUUGUUCAUGUGAUAUUUUAGGAAGCCCAAGGGCUCAGACCAUGGCUCCAUGACAGUGC
This is a long non-coding RNA of Centrocercus urophasianus (Greater sage-grouse), 13042 nucleotides long. RefSeq lists it as uncharacterized. The record is from RefSeq and is a predicted model, not a curated record. The transcript is spliced from 8 exons. Lineage: Eukaryota; Metazoa; Chordata; Aves; Galliformes; Phasianidae.